GGAAACAAACUGUCCGCCCACUCUACAAGCGCAGCUGAUUGACGCCUAUGAGCAGACGCUUCAUACCGUCAGAUAUACACACGCGUCCCACAUCCAGCGGUUCCACCACCUAUAAAUACCCAAGGUUUGACAAGAGGUAAAGGGGAUGAAAUUCUUAAUACAUAGCAUUCCAUAACAAGUUUAUAUAUUCUCCUCCCCCUUUAUUGAUUGAUUUGUGUAGCCCCUGGGCACUGUUCCGACCAUUCAAACCUGACUUGACUGUCGGAGUAUACGGCCGCCAUCACCCCCGUCGGUUCCGGCCGUGUGCGCCUGACCGUUUGUUCAUUUCGCAGGGAGAAAUACGUGGAGUAGCUAUAAGUUAGCCACGUGGAGGAACCAUUUUUGAAGGUCAACACAAUUAACUGAUCAUCUUGAUCUCAGUUUAAUCCCUAAUUUUCAGAGUGAAAAAGGAAGCCCUUUACAGGAAGCUAAUCGGCGACUUGGGAGCCCAUCAAUGAAUUCUGAAGAAUCAGUAAUAACUACUUUUAGAGAUCAGCAAUCCCACGAACCAAAGCUUCUCAACUUGUUCAAUUAGUUCUGCUAUCAAACAUCCUCUAUGAAAAGCUGUAACAAUCUUGUUAUGGGCUUUAGCUUUUGUUUAUUUUGUUCUCAGGCGAGUUCUAUAAGUUAUUGGCACAAGAUUUCCCUUAUUUUCUCCUUGAUUAUGCGUGGAGAAACAGGAGGGGAAAAUGAAAGUUUGCCAAUGAUUAUCUCUCUUUCUUGAAUAAAUCAUUUAUCUUUUCUUUAACUUUUUGGUACUGCUAAUGUCCAUCUAUGUUCAGGGCUAGUAAUACAUCGAAAUAGUUUCUUUUCUCAUCAAUCUUAUAGUUUUACAAAUCAUCUAAGACCCUAUUCCUCGAUCUAUAGCUCCAACGCCCAAAUUUUGUAGGUAUUCUACCUAGUGGAGGAUCAAACUUUAGGUGCCGUGCUGCAGGGCCAGAUAGGCCCUGUUUUCCCCCGGGGUGGGGGGCAUUCGAGAAGAAUUCUUCUUCUUCUGGCCUUCAUCUCCAACUAAAUUAUGAACACGUGAUUGAGCUAGUAACGGUAUGAGCAAGAGAGAGGGGCUAAGUGUUGCCUUUUCAAUUAACUCCCGUACCUUGGUGUGCCGCCAUCGAUGUAGAUUGUAGCAUGCUUCUCUCCACCAAACACGAAAAUUUCUUUUAGAAAGAAAAAUAAAGGGGGGAAAAUUCAAUUUACCUUAAAAAUUUAGCCCCGUUUGAUAGAAACUAAAAUCCAAAUUUUAUUUUAAGUUAAAGUUAAAAAUUAAUUUCAAUCGCAAAUUUUAUGCGAUCCACAAUUUUUCAAUCGCACAUUUCAUCAAUUUUAUUAAAUUUUGACUUUAAUCUUAGUAGCUUAGAUUUGUCCAGGAAUUACGUGGAUACAAGAAAAUACAAUGUUAUGUCGUAUAGAUAUGUAUUUGAAACAUUACUUGGAAAUUCAUACUUAUCCAAAUGCCAAGAAAAUUGCUUAAACAGUGUUCUCUAUAUUAUUAAAAAUUUGGUCGUGGAUUUGUUAACACUUGGUAGAUAAGGGAAGAAGACAGAUAAAGAUGAAAGAGAGAGAGGCGGCUUUUGGAGGGUGUGAAGAGGCAGAUAGAAUGUGCAAGUGUAUAAUUAUUAAUUAAUAUCCAAUUUAUGGUGAAAAUGACUACAGCUUAGAAUUAAACGUAUAUUAGAAAGUUUUACAAGCCUUACGUUGAAAUUUCUAUCUUAGUUGUAUAAAUAUUAUUUCUUUUAUCCUUUUUUAAUCAUAAAUUC
Molecule: long non-coding RNA, 1796 nt
Filed under: Olea europaea (common olive)
Lineage: Eukaryota; Viridiplantae; Streptophyta; Magnoliopsida; Lamiales; Oleaceae
Description: long non-coding RNA (OEUR_LNC003398)
Source: RNAcentral